UCGCGUCAAGCGCCGUAGGCAGGAGCGGGGGACCCAAGGUAAGUGCCGGACCGGUCGGUUGACCGGAACGGCUAGGGGUGAAGCCACACCUCCCACGGAGCAGCGCUCCGACGGGCGAGGAAGUGGCCGGGCAACUCACACGGCCCGAACCCGACAGCUCACCUCGCAGGCGUCGGUGAGGGGAUCC
RNAcentral lists this small RNA (187 nucleotides) under Actinobacteria bacterium OV320. RNAcentral describes it as "c-di-AMP riboswitch aptamer (ydaO/yuaA leader)". It matches the Rfam family "c-di-AMP riboswitch aptamer (ydaO/yuaA leader)". Rfam says of the family: This family represents a conserved RNA structure found upstream of the ydaO and yuaA genes in Bacillus subtilis and related genes in other bacteria. RNAcentral also lists the same sequence under 1 other name. The record is from Rfam by way of RNAcentral. Lineage: Bacteria; Bacillati; Actinomycetota; Actinomycetes.